UGAGGAACAUGACCUUCGGCGGGGGAUAGCCGGCCCAACGGCCGGGUAAUACCGCGUACGACCACAUGGGGGCAUCCCUGAGUGGUGAAAGCAGCAAUGCGCCGAUGGAGUGCCUCGCGGCCUAUCAGCUAGUUGGUGAGGUAACGGCUCACCAAGGCGACGACGGGUAGCUGGUCUGAGAGGAUGGCCAGCCACAUUGGGACUGAGACACCGGCCCAGACCUCUACGGGGAGG
This 234-nucleotide ribosomal RNA is filed under the name uncultured bacterium. RNAcentral describes it as "partial 16S ribosomal RNA". It matches the Rfam family "Bacterial small subunit ribosomal RNA", at positions 118 to 348 of the family's 1533-position model. The record is from RNAcentral.